AUGUAUCCUUGUGUACGACCGACAAACCUUACUGGACAUAAAAGACGGAUUUUCUCAUUACUUUCCGGAGUUCAGGACCCGCCGUUUGCAGAUCCCCCAUUCAUCUCACCUGAGACGUCUUUGUUCUGGGCCCGUGGAGGCCGCAAGCGCCAACGCAGAGGGAGAAUAUCUGGCGUUCUGGUUCGACUGAGACGACGCACUAACAGACCACCAUUACCCAGUUUACUACUGGCUAAUGUGCAGUCCCUGGAGAACAAGCUGUGCAAGCUUCGGGCUCGGAUCUCAUUCCAGCGAGAGAUGCGGGACUGCUGCGCGAUCUGCCUCAUAGAAACCUGGCUAUCGGACAAAGUACCGGACACCGCAGUACAACUACCGGGGUUCUCCGUGCACCGCGCGGACAGGUCACAGGAGCUUACUGGGAAAAGCAGAGGUGGCGGUGUGUGUUUCAUGAUCAACAACAGCUGGUGUGAUUGUGCGAACUUGCACCCGGUCAAAUCCUUCUGCUCUCCGGACCUGGAGUACCUGAUGAUUAAGUGCUGGCCAUUCUGGCUACCGAGAGAAUUCCCAGCGGUGAUUAUUACGGCUGUUCACAUUCCUCCACAAGCCGACACUGACCGAGCACUCAGAGAACUGUACAGCGCGAUCAGCAAUGAGGAAACUGUACACCCAGAGGCGGCGUUUAUUACGACCAGGGACUUUAAUAAGGGUAACCUGAAGAAAGUCUCACCAAAACUACAUCAACACAUCCAUUUCAAUACACGUGGAGACCGGCUACUCGACCACUGCUACACCUCUUUCCGAGAUGCGUACAAAGCCCUCCCCCGCGCCCCAUUCGGCCAAUCAGAUCAGCGCUCCAUCCUGCUUAUACCUGUCUACAGGCAGAAGCUGAAACGGGAAGCUCCAACCCUGAGGGCGGUGCAUCGUUGGUCGGACCAAUCGGAGUCUACGCUGCAGGAUUGUUUUGAUCGGGCGGACUGGGAAAUGUUUCACGCGGCUGCUAGAGACAUUGAUGAGUACACAGACUCAGUCUGCGGAUUUAUCAGAAAAUGUGUGGAAGAUGUUGUCCCAUCCAGAACAGUUAAAUCCUUCCCAAAUCAAAAACCCUGGAUUAAUGGAGGUGUGCGAACGGCGCUGGCGGCGCGGAGCACCGCCUUUGCCUCCGCGAACACAUCAGACUACAAACACGCACAUUACCAACUCUGGAAGAUGAUCAAAGCAGCCAAACGUGAGUACAGAGACAGGGUGGAGCAACAGUUUGACAACCCCCGGAGUGUGUGGCAGGGACUAAACACAAUCACAGACUUUAGAGGGAAAACCAGAACACCGCAGACCACGCCCUCUCUGUGUGAGGAUCUAAACGUAUUCUAUGCCAGAUUCGACACAGCGAACACCAUGAGACCGGACAGUGAGCGCACCGCGGAUGACGUCAGUGCGCACACUGUGUCUGAAGAGGAUGUGCGGAGGUGCUUCAGGAGGGUGAACGCACGCAAAGCUACUGGUCCGGAUGGGAUUCCCGGCCACGUCCUCAGGUCAUGCGCGGGUCAGCUGGCUGGAGUGUUUACACACAUCUUCAACCUUUCCCUCUCUCUGUCUGUAGUCCCAGCCUGCUUCAAAAUGGCCACCAUUGUCCCUGUACCCAAAUCCUCCACCAUCUCCUCAUUGAAUGACUGA
Long non-coding RNA from Nothobranchius furzeri (turquoise killifish), 1671 nucleotides. NCBI's taxonomy places the organism in Eukaryota, Metazoa, Chordata, Actinopteri, Cyprinodontiformes, Nothobranchiidae. The record is from Ensembl.